GCAUUUUUUUGUUCUGUUUCAGAAUCAAAGCCAUAGAAACCAAGGAGAAGGAUGAUGACACAAAAUGGCUGACCUACUGGGUGACUUACAGCGUCUUCUCCUUGGCAGAGUUUUUCUCUGAUAUCUUCCUUUUCUGGAUUCCUUUCUACUGGUUUCUUAAGUGUUUAUUCCUAGUCUGGUGUAUGGUUCCUGUUGAUGCUUUCAAUGGCAGUAUCAUCAUCUACUACCGCUUUAUCCGACCAUUUGUCCUGCGUCACCAGGACUCCGUGGACAAGACACUGGGCAAGGCCAAGGACUUGGCAGGGGACGCUCUCAAAGAAGGUGAGAAGCUUGCCCGUGAAGCGGUUGUUGAAGGCAAAUUGGAUUAAUACUGCAGAUAGCCAGUCAGCGACGCACCUUCACCCUAACUGGAGCAUUGCCCUUCUAUAAUUUACACAGACUUUGUACAUUUCUGUCCCACAAUUUAGGUGCAAGUUAAAGUUGAAACAAGCGGGGGUUUGGUUUUCGUUUCCAGUUGAAGGACAAACAUUGUAGGAAUGUGGGUGUGACAGCGUCUCACCUAACACAAUACAGGAAGUGGACUAUGAUGUCUACCGCUAACAUUGUGUUGGCUGUGAUUCUGUCACAACUAACACAAUAACAAUAAUGGGAUAUGACAUUUAUUUACUCAAUGUGUUAAGAUGUUUUCUCUCUGUGGGGGCAGACUUGGGUUGGAGCAAUGUGGUCUUAUGUUGCUUCAGCUCUAGAGGUGCUAUGUACACAAUUCAGGGUGUACUAUUACUAAGGACCUUUUUCAAUUCCUGACACACUGUAGAUGUCAAGGUGACAGUAUCUUGCAAAUGUGGUUUAAUUAUUAAGAAAUGAGGUAUAGAUGUGGAUAUAGAUGUUUAAUAAGGACAUGACUUCACUCUUGGUGUCAGGGUCAUCUAGUGCAAUCAUAUCAGUGGUAGGGGCAGGGGGGAUUGGGGGGGGGGGAGAGGAGUUGGAAGGCAAGGGUCUGUAAACCAGGCUGGUCCAGCAGGAACGUACUUUGAUCUGACCGGUGUGAGUUUGAUCAGCACAAUUAUAUAUAUAUAUAAAUCUGCCAGUGUGUUUAUUUAUUUAUGAAUUACUAUAGAUAAAAAUAGAUUUCACCGAAUGGAUUGUUAAUACCUCUAACAAAUAAUGACUAAAUUUGAAGAAUGUGAAAUUUAUAACCACACAGUUUUAUAGUUAUUAUUCACAAUCAUGUCAGGAGAUGGCUGGGGGGAUGUUUUCUUGUCCAGAUACUCUCAUGUCAGUGAAUUCCACUUGCUAUCAUUGUACAUAAUGAAAGUAACAUGUAUGAUUUGAAUUAUUUUUUUUUUGCUCAAAUUUCCUUUCGCACUUUUGUACUGGUAUGGGAUUUUUAAAAAACUUAUAUGGAUGUACAAAUGCAGUGUGCUGCAUAUAGCUUGAUACCUUGAAUAUCUGUGAAAUAGGAGUGUUGGCAAAUAUAUAAAUUAUUAUAACACCAUUAGUCUGAAAUAAAAUGUGCUGCUGCCUAUAAAUUGUUUUCUUUAUUCAUUAGAAAAGUAGUAUUUUUCUUUGUAAAAAAAGUCAUCAGUAAGACUACAUUCCCACAGAUUAAGAUCGAUCCAUCUGGGAGUUCAUGCUAAAUUGCUGUCAGCUCAAGAGGC
Molecule: long non-coding RNA, 1658 nt
Organism: Lingula anatina
Lineage: Eukaryota; Metazoa; Brachiopoda; Lingulata; Lingulida; Lingulidae
Source: RefSeq, a predicted model, not a curated record